UCCCCUAGUAACUGCGAGUGAAGCGGGAAAAGCUCAAAUUUAAAAUCUGGUAGUCUCUGGCUGCCCGAGUUGUAAUCUGGAGAAGUGUUUUCUGUGCUGGGCCGUGUACAAGUCUCUUGGAAUAGAGCGUCAUAGAGGGUGAGAAUCCCGUCUUUGACACGGACAUCCAGUGCUCUGUGAUGCACUCUCAAAGAGUCGAGUUGUUUGGGAAUGCAGCUCAAAAUGGGUGGUAAAUUCCAUCUAAAGCUAAAUAUUGGCAAGAGACCGAUAGCGAACAAGUACCGUGAGGGAAAGAUGAAAAGAACUUUGGAAAGAGAGUUAAACAGUACGUGAAAUUGUUGAAAGGGAAACGCUUGAAGUCAGUCGCGUCUAGCAAGGAUCAGCCCUUCUCGGAGGGUGUAUUUCUUGCUUGACGGGUCAACAUCAAUUUUGAYUACUGGAAAAAGGCCAGAGGAAGGUGGCACCUUCGGGUGUGUUAUAGCCUUUGGUCAUAUACAGUAGUUGGGAUUGAGGAAUUCAGCAUGCCUUCAUGGCUGGGGUUCGCCCACAUUCAUGCUUAGGAUGUUGGCAUAAUGGCUUUAAGCGACCCGUCUUGAAACACGGACCAAGGAGUCUAACAUACC
RNAcentral lists this ribosomal RNA (623 nucleotides) under Agroathelia rolfsii. RNAcentral describes it as "Athelia rolfsii partial large subunit ribosomal RNA". Lineage: Eukaryota; Fungi; Basidiomycota; Agaricomycetes; Amylocorticiales; Amylocorticiaceae. The record is from RNAcentral.